GACGAACGCUGGCGGCGUGCUUAACACAUGCAAGUCGAACGGAAAGGCCCUGCUUUUGUGGGGUGCUCGAGUGGCGAACGGGUGAGUAACACGUGAGUAACCUGCCCUUGACUUUGGGAUAACUUCAGGAAACUGGGGCUAAUACCGGAUAGGAGCUCCUGCUGCAUGGUGGGGGUUGGAAAGUUUCGGCGGUUGGGGAUGGACUCGCGGCUUAUCAGCUUGUUGGUGGGGUAGUGGCUUACCAAGGCUUUGACGGGUAGCCAGCCUGAGAGGGUGACCGGCCACAUUGGGACUGAGAUACGGCCCAGACUCCUACGGGAGGCAGCAGUGGGGAAUAUUGCACAAUGGGCGGAAGCCUGAUGCAGCAACGCCGCGUGCGGGAUGACGGCCUUCAGGUUGUAAACCGCUUUCGCCUGUGACGAAGCGUGAGUGACGGUAAUGGGUAAAGAAGCACCGGCUAACUACGUG
Molecule: ribosomal RNA, 468 nt
Filed under: uncultured bacterium
Lineage: Bacteria
Description: partial 16S ribosomal RNA
Rfam family: Bacterial small subunit ribosomal RNA
Source: RNAcentral